ACUGAUGAGUUACCAAUACUUUCAUCCUAAGGUCUACCUUUGAAUUUGCGCAAACAAAGAUUUUGGACUACUUUGAAAGGGGUCGUCGAAAUUUUAAUAAUCGCCUUCUUCGGCGUGGAAACAACGCCGUCUCCUCCGCCCCUCCUUUCUCUGUCAUUGCCGCUAAAAUAUCGGACAGCCUCCAUGCAAUUAGCAAUUGCAAUGCAGAAAAAUCAAAUAAGGUCUUUUUUUCUCCUGGAGGAUCAUUACUGCCCAUUCUCAUUCGAAAAUAAACCUCCUAGAAGCACUAGAGAUUUGACCUUAUGCUGUAUGUUUUGAAGUAACACCUGUUCUAUGUGUCUCAUACAUAUUUUGAUAUUGCUGUCUAUACGAAAAUUUAGUGUCAACCGGGGAAGCGAACCAAGAGUGCUUUCAUUUAUUAGAGGUACUUGAGUGCUCUUUUUGUGGUCCAAAUGUUGGUGUUUAUUCUGGUCCUCCUAUGACAUGUACCUCAUUUGGUGAAAGACUUUUUCAAGCUUGUUCUAAUGCAUAUUUCUCUUUGUAUGCUAGUACACAAGUUUGUUCCUUUCUGUAGAUUGAUUUAUUUAAAAGGUAGAGACAAACAAUAGGUAGUCGUAGGGCAGAAAACAAUGUGGUGCAUGCUCUUAAUUUUAAAAGGUAUAAAACUACAUUUAAUACUUACCCAAUUUGACUGAAUUAGCUUAAUCUAUCACUCUACUGCAUGAUUGUCUGACCUCUUGUGGACAUAACUUAAGAUCUCUCUUGCAAAAUAUUUUUCAUAAGAAUAUCAGUACAACUAUUGCAACUAAACAGACAAUAUUAUAAUUCAAAAAAGCUCCCCUGACUGAUUUCACUUGUAUAGUAUUGCAGAUCUUUAAUGAGUUGUUUUAAGGUAGUUGAUGUAGGUUAUCUUCCUGUUGCUUACUGAUUCACCAUUGUGUUUGACUUAAUAUGGCAGUCAUGUAGAUAGAAAAAAAUAAAUAGAGAGGAAACUAAGUCUAAGUUUUAUGGUAAGCAAUGUCAAUUCUCUAUAGCAUAUGCUAAAUAUCUAGGCUCUAGCUAUAAUAUGCUAGUGUGAACUUAUUAGAAUUUGAUAGAAGUUCUACUUUAUAUAUUUAAAAUUUUGCACUCCCAAGUACAGUCUCAUGAUUUAGAAUAUGGAUUCGAUUACACUGACUUGGGGUGAUGCGAUCUCAAAAACUUCCUGCUGACUGCUUUUAAUAACACAUGUUAAUUGACAAUGGAAUAACAGGUUUUUUAUUCAGAAAUUGUAUGAAUACUAGCAGUAGAUUGUCGCUGUAUUCUGCUUUUAUUAUUUGUUUUGUUGUUAAUAUGUGAUUUUAUUUUAGUUGCAUUCUCUCUGCUUUGGGUCAUGCAGUUUCAAAGAAGUCCAUGUACAACUUUAUGCGUUCAAAUCGAGCUUGUGGAUUAUAGGCACUCAUAGACCUGAUUCUUGCAAGAUGAUGUAUACUUGAGAGUUGAAGGGAAUUGCAGUGUAUAUGUAUUAUGUAGUAUGACUUAUGAGUAUGUAAUCAGUUAUUUGAGUUCAUUUAUGCUAUGUUUGGAUAGCAAGAUUUCAUUUCAAAUCCUGGAUUUGGGUGAAAUCUAGUGUUUGGAUGGCAUGGAAUUUGAAAUCAUGGAAUUUGUUCAAAUUCUUAUCAAAAGCUUAUAUUAGUAGAAUUUGAAAUUCAA
Beta vulgaris subsp. vulgaris (sugar beet) is the source of this 1692-nucleotide long non-coding RNA. RefSeq lists it as uncharacterized. The transcript has 3 exons. The record is from RefSeq and is a predicted model, not a curated record. Lineage: Eukaryota; Viridiplantae; Streptophyta; Magnoliopsida; Caryophyllales; Amaranthaceae.